UAAAAGUUAGUUAAAAUUAUAAUAUAAACUUGUCAUGUUUAAGUUGUUUUCACUUUUAA
RNAcentral lists this transfer RNA (59 nucleotides) under Bragasellus peltatus. Its description in RNAcentral is "transfert RNA-D(GAC)". Lineage: Eukaryota; Metazoa; Arthropoda; Malacostraca; Isopoda; Asellidae. The record is from RNAcentral.